Non-coding RNA from Potamilus streckersoni, 73 nucleotides. Lineage: Eukaryota; Metazoa; Mollusca; Bivalvia; Unionida; Unionidae. The record is from the annotation of a GenBank genome assembly.
GCACCGGUGGCCCAGCGGUUAGAGCAUCUGCCUCGGAUGUUGUAGGUCGCGGGUUUGAACCCCGGCCGAGUCA